AGAACGAACGCUGGCGGCAGGCUUAACACAUGCAAGUCGAACGCUCCGCAAGGGGAGUGGCAGACGGGUGAGUAACGCGUGGGAACAUACCCCUCGGUUCGGAAUAACUCAGGGAAACUUGAGCUAAUACCGGAUACGGUCGAGAGGCGAAAGAUUUAUCGCCGAGGGAUUGGCCCGCGUCCGAUUAGCUAGUUGGUGAGGUAAUGGCUCACCAAGGCGACGAUCGGUAGCUGGUCUGAGAGGAUGAUCAGCCACAUUGGGACUGAGACACGGCCCAAACUCCUACGGGAGGCAGCAGUGGGGAAUAUUGGACAAUGGGCGAAAGCCUGAUCCAGCCAUGCCGCGUGAGUGAUGACGGCCUUAGGGUUGUAAAGCACUUUUAGUGGGACAAAAGCUACGGACUAAUAUUCUGUGGUCUUGAUUUAACCCAAAGAAAAGCACCGGCUAACUCUGUGCCAGCAGCCGC
Molecule: ribosomal RNA, 466 nt
Filed under: uncultured bacterium
Lineage: Bacteria
Description: SSU rRNA
Rfam family: Bacterial small subunit ribosomal RNA
Source: RNAcentral